CCUACGGGGGGCAGCAGUGGGGAAUAUUGCGCAAUGAGCGAAAGCCUGACGCAGCGACGCCGCGUGAGGGAUGAAGGUCUUCGGAUCGUAAACCUCUGUCAGCAGGGAAGAACGGUCACUGUGCUAAUCAGCAGUGAAUUGACGGUACCUGCACAGGAAGCACCGGCUAACUCCGUGCCAGCAGCCGCGGUAAUACGGAGGGUGCGAGCGUUAAUCGGAAUUACUGGGCGUAAAGCGCUCGUAGGCGGUAUGUCAAGUCAAGGGUGAAAUCCCCGCGCUCAACGUGGGAACUGCCUUUGAAACUGGCAAACUGGAGUGUGUGAGAGGAUAGUGGAAUUCCAGGUGUAGGAGUGAAAUGCGUAGAUAUAUGGAGGAACAUCAGAGGCGAAGGCGACUAUCUGGCACAUAACUGACGCUGAGGAGCGAAAGCGUGGGUAGCAAACAGGAUUAGAUACCCUAGUAGUC
This 465-nucleotide ribosomal RNA is filed under the name uncultured bacterium. RNAcentral's name for it is "partial 16S ribosomal RNA". It matches the Rfam family "Bacterial small subunit ribosomal RNA", at positions 338 to 795 of the family's 1533-position model. The record is from RNAcentral.